AACGCACAUUGCGCCCUCUGGUAUUCCGGAGGGCAUGCCUGUUUGAGUGUCAUUAAUCUCUCACAAGACCAUUUGGUUUCAAACCGUCUGGUCUCUGUCGAAGUUGGGACUUGCGACCUCUCGAGUUCGCUCUCCUCAAAUGUAUUGGUGCGGCCCGCCGCCCGGUUACACAACGUUCUAGGUUCGUCCAACUCGUUGCUCUCCGGUGCAUUCAUGGUGCUGCACCUUAAGCCCGCCUGGUGCCUUGUGCUCCUUGCUAAUUCAUUUAUUGACCUCAGAUCAGGUAGGAAUACGCGCUGAACUUAA
This 306-nucleotide unclassified non-coding RNA is filed under the name uncultured fungus. Its description in RNAcentral is "partial contains 5.8S ribosomal RNA, internal transcribed spacer 2, and large subunit ribosomal RNA". The stretch from base 1 to 52 matches the Rfam family "5.8S ribosomal RNA", at positions 103 to 154 of the family's 154-position model. Lineage: Eukaryota; Fungi. The record is from RNAcentral.